Molecule: RNA transcript, 4042 nt
Organism: Mus musculus (house mouse)
Lineage: Eukaryota; Metazoa; Chordata; Mammalia; Rodentia; Muridae
Gene: Evi5l
Gene name: ecotropic viral integration site 5 like
Exons: 19
Source: RefSeq, marked validated
GGGCGGUGAAUUGGUUGACUGGGCUGGGGGGCGGGGGGCGGGGCAGCGGCUCCUGUCAGCGGGUGAAAUGGCAGUGGCGGAGCCAGCGACGGCCGCGGUCCCCGGGGGUGGCUGAUUGAAAGGGGCCGGGCCGCGGGGUUUGCGGGACCCUCGAGCAGACGUGACCGUGGGUCGGGGCAUCGGACGACACAGCGCAGGGACAGCGAGGCUCGGCGCGGCGAUGGAGGCGCUCUCGGCGCAGACAGAGCUGUAACCUGGCAUCCCCCUGGCUGAUGAGCCUGCCCACCAUGGCAAGCCCCACUCUGAGCCCGGACUCCUCAUCUCAAGAGGCCCUGUCAGCACCCACCUGCUCCCCAACCUCUGACUCCGAGAAUCUCAGCCCAGAUGAGCUAGAACUACUGGCCAAGCUCGAGGAGCAGAACCGGCUCCUGGAAGCCGACUCCAAGUCCAUGCGCUCCAUGAAUGGCUCCCGGAGGAACAGUGGCUCCUCACUGGUAUCCAGCUCCUCAGCCUCCUCCAACCUGAGCCACCUGGAGGAGGACACGUGGAUUCUCUGGGGCCGAAUUGCCAACGAGUGGGAGGAGUGGCGGCGCAGGAAGGAAAAACUACUCAAGGAGCUGAUCCGGAAGGGCAUCCCACACCACUUUCGGGCCAUCGUCUGGCAGCUCCUGUGCAGUGCCACAGAUAUGCCCGUCAAAAACCAGUACUCUGAGCUCCUCAAGAUGUCCUCCCCAUGUGAGAAACUCAUCAGGAGGGAUAUUGCCCGCACCUACCCAGAGCAUGAAUUCUUCAAAGGCCAGGACAGCCUGGGCCAGGAAGUCCUCUUCAAUGUCAUGAAGGCAUACUCCCUGGUUGAUCGGGAGGUGGGCUACUGCCAGGGCAGUGCCUUCAUUGUGGGCUUACUCCUCAUGCAGAUGCCUGAGGAAGAGGCCUUCUGUGUAUUCGUGCGACUGAUGCAGGAGUACCGGCUACGGGAGCUCUUCAAGCCCAGCAUGGCCGAGCUGGGACUCUGUAUCUACCAGUUUGAAUACAUGCUACAGGAGCAGCUUCCGGACCUGAAUACCCACUUCCGCUCACAGAGCUUCCACACGUCCAUGUAUGCAUCGUCCUGGUUCCUUACGCUUUUCCUUACCACCUUCCCCCUGCCUGUUGCCACCCGGGUCUUUGAUAUCUUUAUGUAUGAGGGACUGGAGAUUGUGUUCCGAGUAGGCCUUGCCCUGCUGCAAGUGAACCAGACAGAGUUGAUGCAACUGGACAUGGAGGGCAUGUCCCAGUACUUCCAGAGAGUCAUCCCCCACCAGUUUGACAGCUGCCCAGACAAGCUGGUCCUCAAGGCUUAUCAGGUCAAGUACAACCCUAAAAAGAUGAAGAGGCUGGAGAAGGAGUACGCAGCUAUGAAGAGUAAAGAGAUGGAGGAGCAGAUCGAGAUCAAAAGGCUUCGAACAGAGAACCGGCUGCUCAAACAGCGGAUUGAGACCCUAGAGAAGGGGCAGGUGACACGGGCACAGGAGGCUGAGGAGAACUAUGUCAUCAAACGGGAGUUGGCAGUAGUGAGACAACAGUGUAGCUCGACUGCAGAGGACCUUCAGAAAGCACAGAGUACCAUUCGGCAGUUGCAAGAACAGCAGGUACCCGGCGGUUGAAUGGGAUUGACUGGCAGGACCACACCUUCUACAGGCCUACGUGCCACCCUUGCCUGCUAGCCCUCAGGGCUUAGAUCUGUAAGGAAAACCCUCGCCUCACAGAGGACUUUGUGGCCCACCUGGAGACAGAACUGGAGCAGUCACGGUUACGAGAAACAGAGACUCUGGGGGCCCUUCGAGAAAUGCAGGACAAAGUUCUGGACAUGGAAAAGAGAAACAGCUCACUGCCAGAUGAGAACAAUGUAGCCAGGCUGCAGGAGGAACUCAAGGCACUCAAGGUGCGGGAGGGCGAGGCCGUAGCCUCUGCUCGGGAGCUAAAGCUGCAGCUGCAGGAGCUCUCAGACACCUGGCAGGCCCAUCUUUCCCGCGGUGGCCGCUGGAAGGAGUCCCCGCGGAAGUUGGUCCUGGGCGAGUUACAGGACGAGCUCAUGACUGUGCGUUUGCGCGAGGCACAGGCCCUGGCCGAUGGCCGCGAAUGGCGGCAGCGCGUGGUGGAACUGGAGACGCAGGACAACAUUCACCGCAACCUGCUGAACCGUGUGGAGGCGGAACGCGCGGCCCUGCAGGAGAAGUUGCAGUACCUGGCAGCACAGAACAAGGGACUCCAGACUCAGCUCAGCGAAAGCCGCCGCAAGCAGGCAGAGGCUGAGUGCAAGAGUAAGGAGGAAGUGAUGGCUGUUCGACUUCGGGAGGCAGACAGCAUGGCUGCAGUGGCAGAGAUGAGGCAGCGCAUCGCAGAGCUGGAGAUCCAGAGGGAGGAGGGCCGCAUCCAGGGCCAGCUGAACCACUCGGAUUCAUCGCAGUACAUCCGGGAGCUGAAGGACCAGAUCGAGGAGCUCAAGACUGAGGUGCGGUUGCUGAAAGGCCCACCGACAUUCGAGGACCCGCUGGCUUUCGAUGGGCUCAGCCUAACGCGGCACCUGGAUGAGGAUUCGCUACCAUCUUCUGAUGAGGAGCUGCUGGGCGUGGGUGUGGGCGUGGGCGCAGCCCUGCAGGACCCACUCUACCCUCUCUCUCCCCGGGACGCGCGCUUCUUCAGAAGCCUGGAUCGGCCAGCCAAGGACAGCGAAGGUAGCUCAGACAGCGAUGCAGAUGAACUAGCCACUCCUUAUAGCAACCAGGGCCUGGACAACUGAAGCUGGGGGCCCACUCACGGGGAGCCUGGAGGCCCGCAUUGCUGGCAGGGAGAGAUCAGCAGUCCGCGAGCUUGCUGCUCCACAGUACUAAGGAAUUCUGUGCCUCUGUAACUCCUGCCAACUGAGGGCCAGGUGGAGGAGGCAGCACAGAGGGGCAGGGCCUACUGGCAGGCCUGCCCUGCAUAGCAGUGUUUAUCCGUGUUAGACCAUAUUGUCCAAGCCCUCCUGAGUUCAAGGGGUGCGUGGGCCAGUUACCUGGAGGGUGUUGCUCUCCUAACAUGGACAAGGGCCGAAAGUGGGGAGGCCCCAGGACUUGUUAAUAAGCAGGAAGCUUCCUCCUCCUAGUCAGCUUCCCUUUGGGACAAGGGAGGCCCUGCUGGGUGGGGCCCAGGAACUACAGGUCUGAGGAAGGAGGGGCAACUUGGACUGGAUAUUAGCACCCCAGGACAGGUUCUCUGGACACAGUGAUAUUGAGCAGCCAGUCCCUUGCCACUGGGGACAGAUGGCCAGGCUGGACUUUUCUGCCUGGUGCAGGCAUCAUGGCCCCUGCAGCAGAAACCAAAGCCCCCAGCCCAUCCUGUCUGCAGGACAUACCACCUGGGGUGUGAGCAGUCAGGGGGAACCAGCUCAGACCUGGGAAGUCUCUCCCCACUCUCUAGGGCUAUAGAAGCUGCAAAGAAGAAACCCUUUCCCUAGAGCACCCAUCUUCCUCUGGGGAGUACUAAUAUCACACGUGUUGGCUGGCUGUAAAAGAGAGAACCCCGCUACUUGGGAGUUCUCAGCCUCGGUCCAUUUAUUCCUGUGGACUUAUUCCACUUAUUCUGGCUAGAGUUUCCCAGUCCGUUCCCUCCCCUUAUCUCCUCAGAGUAUUCCCAUGGUCUCUGCCCAGUCAGAGUUGAGAAUGGUGCCAAAGUCCAUCAAUGCUCCCCAGGCUCCUUUACCCUUCACCCCACCCCAACCCGCAUCUUGGACCCCUGGGGGCUGACCCCUUCUCAGUGCUCCUAGAGCCUCAAGUAGAAUGGUGCCCACAGCAUUCCCUGGGUGCUUCCUGGGUGGGGCCUCCAGCUCCGUUUCCAUUCCUGGUGGCCUGCUCUUCAAGUGUUAAAAAAGCCUGGGGGCUGGAGCAGGGUACCCCUGAGGAGGCCCUCUUGUGUGCUCCUCAUGUGCCCCUCCACACUGCCCACCACCAUUUUGCACACUGCCUGUUCACACUCCAUGUCUCCAAGGCAGAAAAGAUGGAAAAUAAAGUGUAUUUACACAGUC